This 385-nucleotide ribosomal RNA is filed under the name Eumanota suthepensis. RNAcentral's name for it is "partial 12S ribosomal RNA". Lineage: Eukaryota; Metazoa; Arthropoda; Insecta; Diptera; Mycetophilidae. The record is from RNAcentral.
UCUGGGAUUAGAUACCCUGUUAUUUAAAAGUAAAUAAAAAUAAUUAAAUAGUAUUAGUUAUAUUCUUGAAAUUUAAAAAAUUUGGCGGUAUUUUAUUCUAUUUAGAGGAACUUGUUUUUUAAUUGAUAAUCCUCAUUUUAUCUUUCUUAAUAAUUUAAUUUAUAUAUCGUCGUCAUCAGAAAAUUUUUAAAAAAUAAUAAUUUUCUAAAAUAUAAAUUUUUAAUUAUGUCAGAUCAAGGUGUAGUUUAUGAUUAAGUUAAAAUGAGUUACAAUAAAUAAAUUUAUAUGAAUAUAAUUAUGAAAAAUUUAUUGAAAGUGGAUUUAUUAGUAAAAUUAUUUAGAAAAAUAGUUUGAUUUAAGUUUUAAAAUAUGUACAAAUCGCCCG